GAUGAACGCUAGCGGUAGGCUUAACACAUGCAAGUCGAGGGGCAGCACGAAUAGCAAUAUUUGGUGGCGACCGGCGCACGGGUGAGUAACGCGUAUGCAACCUACCUAUAACUGGAGAAUAGCCCUCGGAAACGGGGAUUAAUGUUCCAUAACGUUCAGGUGCCGCAUGGUACUUGGACUAAAGCUCAGGCGGUUAUAGAUGGGCAUGCGUGACAUUAGCUUGUUGGUGAGGUAACGGCUCACCAAGGCUACGAUGUCUAGGGGGUCUUAAAGGAUGAUCCCCCACACUGGUACUGAGACACGGACCAGACUCCUACGGGUGGCUG
This 326-nucleotide ribosomal RNA is filed under the name uncultured Bacteroidota bacterium. Its description in RNAcentral is "bacterial SSU rRNA". It matches the Rfam family "Bacterial small subunit ribosomal RNA", at positions 28 to 351 of the family's 1533-position model. Lineage: Bacteria; Pseudomonadati; Bacteroidota. The record is from RNAcentral.